Molecule: long non-coding RNA, 1642 nt
Organism: Branchiostoma belcheri (Belcher's lancelet)
Lineage: Eukaryota; Metazoa; Chordata; Leptocardii; Amphioxiformes; Branchiostomatidae
Exons: 4
Source: RefSeq, a predicted model, not a curated record
UUUUCCCUCUCCUGUGACCGGCGCGGUGAGGUGUGGUCUGGCGUGUGUACUUUGAAAACAAAGAGACACGGAAAACAAGGCCAGGCUGCCAUGACUACCCCGAACAUGGCGACUACAACGGGUGGAAAGAAGAAAUCGGCAACGGUGUCCGUCCGUAUAGACUACAAUAUGGCAUGAGGUUUCCCGGGACGCUUCCGGGACCUGGCCCGGCAACUCCGCCAGGCCAUCCCGGGAGCAGAGGUGGUGGGCAAGAUCAUCAGCAAGCCAGGUGCCUUUGAGGUGUACGUGAACAAGAAGCUGUACUAUUCUAUGUUGGAGAAGAGGCAAUUCCCACACAUCAACCAGCUUGUUCGUGAAAUCAAGAAGCACCUGUCUGAGGCGAAAGCCCCCACCACGGACCUUAACAGUUCUGAAGCCCUGCCUACUGUGACGACCAAGCAGCUCUCUCCAGCUUAGAGCAAUGUUCAAACGCAAGCCACACCCCUUUCCGUGAAGCUUGCUGUGUGUCAACGGUCGCUAGAAAUUGACGAGAGGAGACUGGGGAAAAAUGAAGUUAAGCCCUUUAAUGACAGCCUGGUCUGAAGGAGAUAAAUGUCUCAGGAUCAAGCUCGACAAACAUGGGCGAAUACACAUUCUUUCCCUGGACUGCUCUUGAUCAAAAAUACGUUAACAAUUUUUUCUUUGUUUCAUCUAAAUGAGUUGCUUUGGACUUUUGUAUGCUUAUGUGCAUUCCGCAUUCAUGAAUGAUGUCAACGAUAGCUAGAUCAAAGCAAAGUGUGCAAAAACCACAUGUCUAUCAUAUCAGGAUGGAUGUUACCAAAUAGCUGACUCUACCAAAAAGUAUUUGUUCCAUGAUUACAGGUAAAUAGGAACACUGCUCUAGUACACACAUUUGUUUGUGUGAUUUCUUUUCAAGAAAUAAAUCGACAAUAAACACCAAGUCAACUUGUGGAAAAUUUUCUUCCCAUUUUCUCGAGUCAUUACAACUACAGCAAAAAUACUGCAUUUGAGUAAGGCUGUAGUGAGUUGUAGAGAAUCACCCCAGCAAUGGCUACACUCUGUAAUGCACCAUUAUACAUACCUCAGGGGAGUACUGUACCAGGCACAUUUCUGCCUGCCCUAUUGAUAUCUAGUCACAGACAGGCUCCUUGCCUGACACUUAUGUUUUGAUACUUGAUGAAUUUUCAUACAUACAUUUUCAAUGUUAUGCCUCAAUAACACUAGUGCCCUCCAAAUAACAGUACACUUGAGGGCUGGCCUCCUAUAUUGUACAAGUACUAUUAAGGAGCAACUGACAGUAAUGAAUUAUACAAUAUGCAACACCAUACAUGUAUUAUGUAGUAGUAAUUAUAUGAUGGUAUGCACCACCUAGUGUGUUAUUGAUCGAAGUAUAUCAUGAAUGUCUUUUGCUAUUGUAUGUAUAAAAGUGUAGGUUUCAUCACUAAAGACAGUUUCACUACAGUCUACAUGAUGUAAGAUAUUAUAUGCUGUAAGUGCAUAUGAUAUAUACUACAUGUAUGAGAGAACAUUUGAAUAAAUUUACAAAAUGUAUCCACUAGAAGUUUCCACAGUGGGGAUGAGCUUGGGGAGGCCCAUUACUGCUAAUUACAUUUUACAGUCUGUUUGAACCAACAUUAACACA